UUUAAUAAAAUUGAGAAUGGAAAUGGGGAAUGUGUCAAAGAGACAACAACCCGACCAAAUAAAAAACAACAGCAGAGGGUCACCAACAGGUCUUCAAUGUAGCGAGAAAUUCCCGCACCCGGAGGUGUCCUUCAGCUGGCCCCUAAACAAAUAUAUACUAGUCCAGUGAUAAUGAACGCCAUACUAAUUUCCAAAUUGUACACAAGAAACUAAAAUUAAAAUAAUACAAGACUAACAAAGGCCAGAGGCUCCUGACUUCGGACAGGCGCAAAAAUGCGGCGGGGUUAAACAUGUUUGUGAGAUCUCAACCCUCCCCCUAUACCUCUAACCAAUGUAGAAAAGUAAACGCAUAACAAUACGCACAUUAAAAUUCAGUUCAAGAGAAGUCCGAGUCUGAUGCCAGAAGAUGUAACCAAAGAAAAUAAACAAAAUGACAAUAAUACAUAAAUAACAACAGACUACUAGCAGUUAACUGACAUGCCAGCUCCAGACUUCAAUUAAACUGACUGAAAGAUUAUGAUUUCAUCAUAUGAACAUCAGGCACAAUCCUUCCCGUUAGGGGUUUAGUAUCAUACCAUCAUAACAUAUAUGAGAAGAACAUAACCCGUGUCAUGCCAAC
This 619-nucleotide long non-coding RNA is filed under the name Mytilus galloprovincialis (Mediterranean mussel). Lineage: Eukaryota; Metazoa; Mollusca; Bivalvia; Mytilida; Mytilidae. The record is from RNAcentral.